RNAcentral lists this long non-coding RNA (1794 nucleotides) under Xyrichtys novacula (pearly razorfish). The record is from RNAcentral. Lineage: Eukaryota; Metazoa; Chordata; Actinopteri; Labriformes; Labridae.
UGCCGAUGGGACGAAAGCUUUAGGAGGAGUUAGCCACAUUCCAAUGUGUGCGAAUCGGCAAAAAAUGCGAAAUAGCCCUUUAACUGUACAUUUUACAGAUACGCGCACAUUGACUUUUUCGUAGAUCUUAUUGAGAUACAUGUGUGUGUUAAUUUUUGUGUCAAUAUGACAAAGCGUACAGGCGUGACACUCAACAAUGUGUAUAUUCGCCUUACGGGACAAGAAAAAAUGGACUUUUUUCUCCUGCCAUGGGGGGCGCUCUUUUGGCGAGUAAAAAUUCCUUCACAAAUGUGUUGAUGGCUGGACAUUGCAUCCACCUAGAAAACUUGGAGGCCAGUGAGGACAAAUGUAAAAAGUUAUGACUUUUAAGAAUGUGGAUUUUUGGGUUAUCUUUGGCGCCCCCUAGAACGUAAACCGUGGGGUGCAGCGUCAUGAUUUGUACAACUUUUAAUGGCCAUGGGGGGUAGAUUGGCCUGCGCAAAUGUGGUGCCGGUCGAACGAAAGCCUUCGGAGGAGUUAGCGAAAUUCCAAUGUGUGCAGAUCUGCAAAAAAUGCAAAAUAACCCAUUAACCGUACAUUUGACAGAUACGCCCGCACUGACUUUUUUGUAGAUCUUAUUGAGAUACAUGUGUGUGUCAAUUUUUGUGUCAAUAUGACAAAGCGUACAGCCGUCAUGUGAAUUUUCACCUUAGGGGGCGCUAUGGAGCCAUUUUGCAUUUUAUUGUUUGGGCGACUUCAGAAUAUCGAAUUUUUCACCAGGCCCGGUCGUCCUGCCAAAUGUCCUGAGUUUUCGCCAGUGGGAAGUGGGCCAUUUUCCAGUUUGAAGCGGAGGAAAAAUAAUAACGAAAGAAGGAAACAUGCAGGAACAAGAGGGCUCUCGCAGCUGCUUAGCAGCUACGCUCGGGCCCUAAUAAUAACAAAAGAAGGAAACAUGCAGGAACAAGAGGGCUCUCGCAGCUGCUUAGCAGCUACGCUCGGGCCCUAAAAAAGGAAACUACAGGAACAAGAGGGCUCUCGCAGCUGCUUAGCAGCUACGCUCGGGCCCUAACUAGGACCCCGUUGGGGCACUGGCGGGCCCGAGCUGUGUCGCGUCCCCCCCCCAACGCGCUGCCUCCCCGUCCCAUUUGUGUCCUCUGGCCAUCGUCCUCUCAUGUAACGCCCAUCACUGCAAAGACCCUUUUCCUUCAUCGGCGUUUGCUGUUCUUCCUGCCAGUGCGUGUUGCUUUCACUUACACUUGCCACAGCCAGCCUCUUGAGUGCCUAGCCUAUUGGAUAUCACUGUCACCUACUCAGGACAGUCAUUACCUUUCUAUUAAUACUUUGUUUUUUAAUUUCACAUUAAUUUCCAUAUUGUAUAAACAACUGGAAAAAACUUGAGCCCCUGCCCCUGUAUAAUCAUGUGCACGUCUCUGUUCUAGCUCUAAGCUGAAUCUUCACUGCUCAUGUUCUCCUCAGAAGCAGUCACCUCACUCCCCUCAGGUUACUGUACACAUGCACCAACUGCCUGCUUCAGGUUUGGAUGGAGCUUCAUGGUUGUCUUUUGGAGAAAUGACCAGUCAAGUUGUGUUUGAAAUUUGAUUUUUUUCAGGGGCAAAAGGAGCCUCUGCAUUCUUGUCAAAUAUGUAAAUAGCAUGUUUUUGCAGGUGCUAAAAACCAGACUCUGAGUGUGUGUGUGUGUGUGUGUGUGUGUGUGUGUGUGUGUGUGUGUGUGUGUGUGUGUGUGUGUGUGUGCGUUCAAGUCACAUGACAUAUUUAACCGGAUGUAGCUGCAAGACGGAGCCUCGUUGACCCUCC